CUAAGAAUAUUCCGCAAUGGACGAAAGUCUGACGCAGCAACGCCGCGUGAAGGAUGAAGGUUUUCGGAUUGUAAACUUCUUUGAUGAGGGACGAAAAAAAUGACGGUACCUCAAAAACAAGCCACGGCUAACUACGUGCCAGCAGCCGCGGUAAUACGUAGGUGGCGAGCGUUGUCCGGAAUUACUGGGUGUAAAGGGCGUGUAGGCGGGGAGCCAAGUCAGAUGUGAAAUACCGAGGCUUAACCUCGGGGCUGCAUCUGAAACUGUUUUUCUUGAGUGUCGGAGAGGAAAGUGGAAUUCCUAGUGUAGCGGUGAAAUGCGUAGAUAUUAGGAGGAACACCAGUGGCGAAGGCGACUUUCUGGACGAUAACUGACGCUGAGGCGCGAAAGCGUGGGGAGCAAACAGG
This 407-nucleotide ribosomal RNA is filed under the name uncultured prokaryote. Its description in RNAcentral is "bacterial SSU rRNA". It matches the Rfam family "Bacterial small subunit ribosomal RNA", at positions 355 to 776 of the family's 1533-position model. RNAcentral also lists the same sequence under 1 other name. The record is from RNAcentral.